RNAcentral lists this small nuclear RNA (101 nucleotides) under Panthera leo (lion). Lineage: Eukaryota; Metazoa; Chordata; Mammalia; Carnivora; Felidae. The record is from RNAcentral.
GUGCUCACUUCAGCAGCACAUAAAGUUCAAACAAUACAGAGAAGAUUAGCAUGACCCAUGCGCAAGGAUGACAUGCAAAUUCGUGAAGGUUCCAUAUUAAA